CCCAGGACCAACUUGUUUACUGAUUGUUUUCACUUGGCACAACCAGUUAGCUAAACUUGCUUGACUAUAUGACCAGAGAGUCAUAAAAGACCCCACUGGGAAUUUACCUCCCGGUAGAUUAUCUCCUGAGGUCAAGAUUCAUUGUGCAGAUCUUGAAGGUUCAGUCUGGAGAGGAAGCCCUUGGAGAGCUAAGAAGGACCUUUUGGAGCUUGCGCAUGGGCUGUCUCUGGACCUCCAAUGCUUGCCUGCACUCUUCUCUUGCUGCACUGCAUGCAACCUCUGCCUGUGUAUUAAAGCCUUCUGUGACUCCGCCUUGUGGAUCCUGAAGAAUGAACUACGGAAUGCUGGCAACUCCCAGAAGCUGGAAGAGGCAAGGAGUGGACUUUCCCCUACAGCCCGCAGAGGGAGUGAGGCACCUGCCGAUGAAUUGAUUUUAGCCCAGUGGUACUGAUUCCAGACUUCUGGCCUCCAGAACGAUAAGAGAAUGAACUUCUGUUGUUUGAAGUCACCAAGUUUGUGGUAAUUUGUAACAACAGUCACAAGAAACUAAUACAAAAGGUAUAAAGCAACAUUUCUUUUGAGUAAAUGUUAGUUUUCGUGCUGAUUCCAAAUGCAAGUGUUAACAAAGGUAUGGUAAACUGCUUUUCAAAAUGAAAAUUUCAAUCAAAAUGAUGUGUCAUUGACAAAAUAAAUUUUCUUUUCAGAAACUUUCAUUUAUGAGUUCGAAUAUAACUAGUAAACAGAGUGCAUGAAGGCAUUUGACAAAAUCAUUUUGUUUACUGAGCUUUUUUUAAACUGAUGAAUCUUCUCAUAUGAAGUGUUUUGUUGAUCUGCCAGUGAGUUUUUUUUAAUUUGUCGAGCACAGUGAAACUGACUGAAUUAUCUAAUAAAAGAAUAAACCUUUUAAAAACAUCUCUUUUCUUUUGGUUUAAUAUCUACUGAUCCUACUUUUAUUCUGGACUUUUUCAAAACUAAUACCUGAUGGGGAAACAAAAUGUAUAACAUGAAUCUAAAUUCUAGCAAAACAGUCAGUUAUUAUUUAACAGCAUUUACCCUUAUAUAAAGUCUCUAAAAUGUGGCCUUCUAUCCAAAGAAGUGAUAGCAUUUAAAGGAAGACUUGUGGAAGUUUCGAGAAGCAAGAUUCUUGUAGCAACUACUGAAACAGGGAGAGUGGCUAACUGCCUGUUUUUCUAGAAACUUCUCAGUGUGGUGUGCUUGAUCUUGGUAAUAAAUAUGUGCCUAAAGUGGUGCAGUUUCAGAAGCCUGACUUUGUUGAUUACUCCCAGCGGAUCCAGUG
RNAcentral lists this long non-coding RNA (1297 nucleotides) under Equus caballus (horse). Its description in RNAcentral is "lncRNA (ENSECAG00000048071.1)". Lineage: Eukaryota; Metazoa; Chordata; Mammalia; Perissodactyla; Equidae. The record is from RNAcentral.